UGAUGAUGAUAAGGAUAAUUUUUUAGCAUGCCUUUGAAUUUCUCCCAAGCUUGAUUGAUAUUUUCUCCAUCUUUCUAUAUAAAACUCAAGAUUUUACUCCUCAAUUA
Non-coding RNA from Capsicum annuum, 107 nucleotides. NCBI's taxonomy places the organism in Eukaryota, Viridiplantae, Streptophyta, Magnoliopsida, Solanales, Solanaceae. The record is from Rfam.